This 237-nucleotide ribosomal RNA is filed under the name uncultured bacterium. RNAcentral's name for it is "partial 16S ribosomal RNA". It matches the Rfam family "Bacterial small subunit ribosomal RNA", at positions 57 to 305 of the family's 1533-position model. The record is from RNAcentral.
GCAAGUCGAGCGGUAGAAGAAUUUAGCUUGCUAAUUUCUUUGAGAGCGGCGAACGGGUGAGUAACACGUUGGGAUCUGCCCCCAAGUCAGGGAUAGCCAUUGAAAACGAAGAUUAAUACCGGAUAGUCUCUUCGGAGUAAAAAUUUAUUGCUUGAGGAGGAACCUGCGUUCUAUCAGCUAGUUGGUGAGGUAAUAGCUCACCAAGGCAAUGACGGUACCUGGUCUGAGAGGAUGAUC